AAACUUUCAACAACGGAUCUCUUGGUUCUGGCAUCAAUGAAAAACGCAGCGAAAUGCGAUAAGAAAUGUGAAUUGCAAAAUUCAGGGAAUCUUCGAAUCUUUGAACGCACUUUGGGCCUGGCAGUUUUCUGCCGGGCAUGCCUGCC
This 146-nucleotide ribosomal RNA is filed under the name Ceratocystis diversiconidia. RNAcentral's name for it is "5.8S ribosomal RNA". It matches the Rfam family "5.8S ribosomal RNA". Rfam says of the family: 5.8S ribosomal RNA (5.8S rRNA) is a component of the large subunit of the eukaryotic ribosome. Lineage: Eukaryota; Fungi; Ascomycota; Sordariomycetes; Microascales; Ceratocystidaceae. The record is from RNAcentral.